Molecule: unclassified non-coding RNA, 220 nt
Filed under: Hevea brasiliensis (rubber tree)
Lineage: Eukaryota; Viridiplantae; Streptophyta; Magnoliopsida; Malpighiales; Euphorbiaceae
Source: RNAcentral
UUCAUUAGCUUUCCAUUCAUUGUUGUUAACUUAUUAAUGUAGACAGUAAGCAAGAGAUUUGAAGCCACACUGUGAUGAGAAAGAGCAAAAUGGGGACGGGUUAUACCUCCUGAAUCAUACAUGAUUUGACAAUGAAAAUCAUGUGUGAAAAUGAUCUAUUUUUUUGGGUAGCCAAAUAUGGUCUAGAAGUGGAAUUCAUAUCAAAAUGGCUUGUUCUCAG